Molecule: ribosomal RNA, 727 nt
Filed under: Mycobacterium sp. M 129
Lineage: Bacteria; Bacillati; Actinomycetota; Actinomycetes; Mycobacteriales; Mycobacteriaceae
Description: bacterial SSU rRNA
Rfam family: Bacterial small subunit ribosomal RNA
Source: RNAcentral
AGCUAGUUGGUGGGGUAAAGGCCUACCAAGGCGACGACGGGUAGCUGGUCUGAGAGGGUGACCAGCCACACUGGGACUGAGACACGGCCCAGACUCCUACGGGAGGCAGCAGUGGGGAAUAUUGCACAAUGGGCGAAAGCCUGAUCCAGCGAUGCCGCGUGUGUGAUGAAGGCCUUCGGGUUGUAAACCUCUUUCACCAUCGACGAAUCCUUGACUCUUUUUGUGGUGGUGACGGUAGGUGGAGAAUAAGCACCGGCUAACUACGUGCCAGCAGCCGCGGUAAUACGUAGGGUGCAAGCGUUGUCCGGAAUUACUGGGCGUAAAGCGCUCGUAGGUGGUUUGUCGCGUUGAUCGUGAAAUUCCCGGGCUUAACUGGGAACGUGCGGGCGAUACGGGCAGGCUAGAGUACUGCAGGGGAGACUAGAAUUCCUGGUGUAGCAGUGAAAUGCGCAGAGAUCAGGAGGAAUACCGGUGGCGAAGGCAGGUCUCUGGGCAGUAACUGACGCUGAUGAGCGAAAGCGUGGGGAGCGAACAGGAUUAGAUACCCUGGUAGUCCACGCCCUAAACGAUGGGUACUAGUUGUGGGUUUCCUUCCUUGGGAUCCGUGCCGUAGCUAACGCGUGAAGUACCCCGCCUGGGGAGUACAGUCGCCAGGCUAAAACUCAAAGGAAUUGACGGGGACCCACCCAAGCGGCGUAGCAUGUGGAUUAAUUCGAUGCAACGCGAA